CCUUUGGGUUGCCCCAAGAUUUCAGUCUCGGUGGUGAAUUGAUUUCGUGAUUCUACGCAUAUGUUUGAUCUUUAGCCGAAGUAGGGUACACUCAGUGGAAGUUGUCUGUACAGAUGCUCCUGUCAAUUCACUGAAGAAUGCUGAAAGCAUGAAUGAGAAGAAUGUUGAGAACAAAUUAAUAAGGGUAGAAAAAUAUCCAAGAAAUAAAUACUUGUAUUUUCUGUGAA
Cyanistes caeruleus (blue tit) is the source of this 227-nucleotide non-coding RNA. Lineage: Eukaryota; Metazoa; Chordata; Aves; Passeriformes; Paridae. The record is from RefSeq and is a predicted model, not a curated record.